RNAcentral lists this long non-coding RNA (505 nucleotides) under Capsicum annuum. RNAcentral describes it as "long non-coding RNA (CANN_LNC010796)". Lineage: Eukaryota; Viridiplantae; Streptophyta; Magnoliopsida; Solanales; Solanaceae. The record is from RNAcentral.
CGCGGCACAAGUUCCCAAGUCUUAUUUUUAAUUAAAGCAUCAUAUUCUGCUUUCAUUGUUUUUCUCCACUCUUCAUGUUUAUCAACCUGUUUGAAAGUUACAGGUGUAGGGGUCAAAUGGGUCAGAAAAGAAAGUUUUCUUUUCGUAUUGAAGAUACUAUUUUGGGACUGAGUUAUAAUACGAUUUGAAGAUAGCGGUGGAAUCAGGGAAGCAGGUAUUGAAGGAAAAGGAUCAAGUAAUUGGUUUGUGGGAUUUGAAGGGUGGCAAGGGUGAAGGAGUGGCUUCACUGGUGGUUGGGAUUGGUUGGUGGGAUUUCCGGUUUAUGGUUUUUCAUCUCUAGUAUGUGAGUAAAGACUUAUGUGUAGCAGUGUUAUGCGCAGGAGGAGGAGGGACAGGAAGUGGAUUAGAAGUAGGAACAGGGAGAGGUGUAUUACCUGAUAACUCUAGAGCUGCUGGUACUUGAUCAUUGUUGUUGGAGUGAGCAUUGCCAGGGAAAUAGGUGUUA